UAGGGAAUCUUCCACAAUGGACGAAAGUCUGAUGGAGCAACGCCGCGUGAGUGAAGAAGGGUUUCGGCUCGUAAAACUCUGUUGUUAAAGAAGAACAUAUCUGAGAGUAACUGUUCAGGUAUUGACGGUAUUUAACCACGAAAGCCACGGCUAACUACGUGCCAG
This 165-nucleotide ribosomal RNA is filed under the name uncultured bacterium. Its description in RNAcentral is "partial 16S rRNA". It matches the Rfam family "Bacterial small subunit ribosomal RNA", at positions 355 to 511 of the family's 1533-position model. The record is from RNAcentral.